CCCUGGUGGCGAGCGGCGGACGGGUGAGUAAUGCAUAGGAAUCUGCCCGGUAGUGGGGGAUAACGUGGGGAAACCCACGCUAAUACCGCAUACGUCCUACGGGAGAAAGCGGAGGAUCUUCGGACUUCGCGCUAUCGGAUGAGCCUAUGUCGGAUUAGCUAGUUGGUAAGGUAACGGCUUACCAAGGCGACGAUCCGUAGCUGGUCUGAGAGGAUGAUCAGCCACACUGGGACUGAGACACGGCCCAGACUCCUACGGGAGGCAGCAGUGGGGAAUAUUGGACAAUGGGCGAAAGCCUGAUCCAGCCAUGCCGCGUGUGUGAAGAAGGCUUUCGGGUUGUAAAGCACUUUCAGCGAGGAAGAAAGCCUCUGGGUUAAUACCCCAGAGGAAAGACAUCACUCGCAGAAGAAGCACCGGCUAACUCCGUGCCAGCAGCCGCGGUAAUACGGAGGGUGCGAGCGUUAAUCGGAAUUACUGGGCGUAAAGCGCGCGUAGGUGGCUUGGCACGCCGGUUGUGAAAGCCCCGGGCUCAACCUGGGAACGGCAUCCGGAACGGCCAGGCUAGAGUGCAGGAGAGGAAGGUAGAAUUCCCGGUGUAGC
RNAcentral lists this ribosomal RNA (600 nucleotides) under Salinicola salarius. RNAcentral describes it as "bacterial SSU rRNA". It matches the Rfam family "Bacterial small subunit ribosomal RNA", at positions 83 to 679 of the family's 1533-position model. Lineage: Bacteria; Pseudomonadati; Pseudomonadota; Gammaproteobacteria; Oceanospirillales; Halomonadaceae. The record is from RNAcentral.